CUUAAUUAAAGAUUUGAUCUCUGCAUUACAGGUGUAACAUAAUAUACACCUGUCAAAAAAAUUUAUUUCUUCAGCUUCAUCUUUCUGCAUUAUUCAGAAACUUCAGUCUGCAACGCUAUCUGCACUUUGCAAGUCUACAGUUUAGGCGUGCUUUUCUUCAAAUUUUCCGUCCCAGUCUUUCUUUUCUUAAAACCCUUGAUUUUUUCUAUUCAAAUCGCCAUCAGCCUCCCGCAUAAGCCAUCUGCCAGCCUUGUCGCGCUUUCAGCCUUUUCAGACUUCUGCUCCAUCGUUCUUCUCUUUUUCUUCUUCUGCGCGUGAACGACUGAAUAAGAAGAAAAAAUGAACAACCGUUAGGCAGAAGGCCAUAAAAACGGUGCCGUUCAAGCUAAAAACUAAUAAUUAAAGAAAUUAUAAAUAAUUUAAUCAUUUCCAUACGUAACUUUUCAUUGCGCCUUCAGUUAUUAUUGUUAUUAUUAUUAUUGUAUAUGAUUUUUAUUAUUAAAGCUAAAUAUUUAACUAAUUUCUAAUAAAAUUAAUAAUUAUAGGAUAGACAAAAGUCAUUGUCACACAUAUAGUGAUGAAAUGUGUACAGUAUCUAUUUAAUUUUUAUUUUUAAUUAUCGUAUUUAUAUAUAUACAUAUAUCAUUCACUCGCUCGCUCACUCACUCACCCUCGUCGGAGCAAGAGAAGCAGUAUGGUCUGAACCUACUCUCAAAUGCUUCUUAUACCCUCUUCCUCAACACCUUGGCGGUCUCACUUACCAUGAGUUCAACGCCUCUCGUCUCGGUCUCUCUGCUGCGCCUUCUGCUAUUCGUACUUGGUAUUCUCAUCACCCGGCUUCUGUCCAUCUGAGAAAGAAAGGAGUCGUCACCUCUGUCAAAGAUGAGGGCGCCUGCGGUGCUUAUUCUUUUUGCCUUCAAUUCUUACUUCAUGUUAUUUCGCGUAGUUGUUGGCUGUUGUUGAUCGCCUUGAACUCAUGGUGAGUGAGAUCCGAGAAGGGUGGAAGAAGCAUUUGAGAGGAGGUAUAAGAAGCAUUUUCAGCCUGUACUUGCUCCGAGGAGUAUGUAUUUCAAUCUUCCAACAGUUGGUUUAUAUGUAAAGAAGAAGAAGAAGAGGAGGAAGAAAUGCAGAGAUUUCAACCUUUGUGUCGAUUCAGUACUUAUCAAUUAAUUUUAGGAUGUGAUUUAAGGUUUAAGUUUGAUUAACCAGAAAUUGGGUAAUUACUAGAAAUCAAACUGAAUGGUAUAUUUUUAUAAUUGGUAGAACUAAAACCCAAUGUGCAAUUAUAAUCAAAUUGAAUCAAUUAUAACUUUAAAAUUAUAUUUAGAUAUACUUUAAUCUAUCAUAUUUCUAUAUUAUUAAUACUUAUCAAAAUGGGGUUAAAUAAAUUAAUAAAAGAAAUAACUUAUAACUAAAAUUCAGAUCUUUUUAAUUUAAAUUGAAAAUUAUGUUAAAUAAUAUAUUACAUUUAAGUAUUAUAUAUGUUAUACAUUUAGUUUAUAAUGGAGUUAAUUUCAAAUAAAUCCCUAUUUUUUAAAUUUAUUAUUCAAACUCCAAGUACCACUAUCAAUUUUAAUUACUUUAACAAGAUAUCAAUUAUGCAUACCCAAUAUAAUAUAAAUGUACAUUAAAAACAAUAUAACCGAUAAAUAAAACAAUUAACUUUCAACGAGGAGAUACAACACAUCUUUAUAUGUGUAUAUAUAUAUAUAUAUAUAUAAGGGUUGGUGAAUUAGUAAAUGAAAAAUAAAGAGAAUGAGUUAUGAUUAUAUGGUAGCAAGAAUGUUUAUAUUUUAUCUUAAAGUUUAUAAUUUUAAACUUUAUUAAAAAUGUAAUCUAUAAAAUAAUAUAAAAAGAAGAUAGAAGUCAAGUAAAAGUAGUCAAAGGUGAUGCAGACACCUGAUGAGGAAGAUUCUCUCGUGCAACAAAAUCUCU
RNAcentral lists this long non-coding RNA (1935 nucleotides) under Carica papaya (papaya). RNAcentral's name for it is "long non-coding RNA (CPAP_LNC003100)". Lineage: Eukaryota; Viridiplantae; Streptophyta; Magnoliopsida; Brassicales; Caricaceae. The record is from RNAcentral.